CGCGUGCCUAAUACAUGCAAGUCGAACGAGUUCUGAUUAUUGAAAGGUGCUUGCAUCUUGAUUUAAUUUUGAACGAGUGGCGGACGGGUGAGUAACACGUGGGUAACCUGCCCUUAAGUGGGGGAUAACAUUUGGAAACAGAUGCUAAUACCGCAUAAAUCCAAGAACCGCAUGGUUCUUGGCUGAAAGAUGGCGUAAGCUAUCGCUUUUGGAUGGACCCGCGGCGUAUUAGCUAGUUGGUGAGGUAACGGCUCACCAAGGCAAUGAUACGUAGCCGAACUGAGAGGUUGAUCGGCCACAUUGGGACUGAGACACGGCCCAAACUCCUACGGGAGGCAGCAGUAGGGAAUCUUCCACAAUGGACGCAAGUCUGAUGGAGCAACGCCGCGUGAGUGAAGAAGGCUUUCGGGUCGUAAAACUCUGUUGUUGGAGAAGAAUGGUCGGCAGAGUAACUGUUGUCGGCGUGACGGUAUCCAACCAGAAAGCCACGGCUAACUACGUGCCAGCAGCCGCGGUAAUACGUAGGUGGCAAGCGUUAUCCGGAUUUAUUGGGCGUAAAGCGAGCGCAGGCGGUUUUUUAAGUCUGAUGUGAAAGCCCUCGGCUUAACCGAGGAAGUGCAUCGGAAACUGGGAAACUUGAGUGCAGAAGAGGACAGUGGAACUCCAUGUGUAGCGGUGAAAUGCGUAGAUAUAUGGAAGAACACCAGUGGCGAAGGCGGCUGUCUGGUCUGUAACUGACGCUGAGGCUCGAAAGCAUGGGUAGCGAACAGGAUUAGAUACCCUGGUAGUCCAUGCCGUAAACGAUGAAUGCUAGGUGUUGGAGGGUUUCCGCCCUUCAGUGCCGCAGCUAACGCAUUAAGCAUUCCGCCUGGGGAGUACGACCGCAAGGUUGAAACUCAAAGGAAUUGACGGGGGCCCGCACAAGCGGUGGAGCAUGUGGUUUAAUUCGAAGCAACGCGAAGAACCUUACCAGGUCUUGACAUCUUUUGAUCACCUGAGAGAUCAGGUUUCCCCUUCGGGGGCAAAAUGACAGGUGGUGCAUGGUUGUCGUCAGCUCGUGUCGUGAGAUGUUGGGUUAAGUCCCGCAACGAGCGCAACCCUUAUGACUAGUUGCCAGCAUUUAGUUGGGCACUCUAGUAAGACUGCCGGUGACAAACCGGAGGAAGGUGGGGAUGACGUCAAAUCAUCAUGCCCCUUAUGACCUGGGCUACACACGUGCUACAAUGGAUGGUACAACGAGUUGCGAGACCGCGAGGUCAAGCUAAUCUCUUAAAGCCAUUCUCAGUUCGGACUGUAGGCUGCAACUCGCCUACACGAAGUCGGAAUCGCUAGUAAUCGCGGAUCAGCACGCCGCGGUGAAUACGUUCCCGGGCCUUGUACACACCGCCCGUCACACCAUGAGAGUUUGUAACACCCGAAGCCGGUGGCGUAACCCUUUUAGGGAGCGAGCCG
This 1452-nucleotide ribosomal RNA is filed under the name Lacticaseibacillus rhamnosus. Its description in RNAcentral is "bacterial SSU rRNA". It matches the Rfam family "Bacterial small subunit ribosomal RNA". Lineage: Bacteria; Bacillati; Bacillota; Bacilli; Lactobacillales; Lactobacillaceae. The record is from RNAcentral.